This 440-nucleotide ribosomal RNA is filed under the name uncultured bacterium. RNAcentral's name for it is "partial 16S ribosomal RNA". It matches the Rfam family "Bacterial small subunit ribosomal RNA", at positions 338 to 795 of the family's 1533-position model. The record is from RNAcentral.
CCUACGGGAGGCAGCAGUGGGGAAUAUUGCACAAUGGGGGGAACCUUGAUGCAGCAACGCCGCGUGGGUGAAGAAGUACUCCGGUAUGUAAAGCCCUGUCAGCAGGGAAGAAAAUGACGGUACCUGACCAAGAAUCCCCGGCUAACUACGUGCCAGCAGCCGCGGUAAUACGUAGGGGGCCAGCGUUAUCCGGAUUUACUGGGUGUAAAGGGAGCGUAGACGGGAAGGCAAGUCUGGAGUGAAAGCUCGUGGCCCAACCACGGGACUGCGUUGGAAACUGUGUUGCUGGAGUGCAGGAGGGGUAAGCGGAAUUCGUGGUGUAGCGGUGAAAUGCGUAGAUAUUAGGAGGAACACCGGUGGCGAAGGCGGCUUACUGGACUGUAACUGACGUUGAGGCUCGAAGGCGUGGGGAGCAAACAGGAUUAGAUACCCCUGUAGUC